Long non-coding RNA from Mytilus trossulus (common blue mussel), 445 nucleotides. RefSeq lists it as uncharacterized. The transcript is spliced from 2 exons. Lineage: Eukaryota; Metazoa; Mollusca; Bivalvia; Mytilida; Mytilidae. The record is from RefSeq and is a predicted model, not a curated record.
CUAAGGGUUCCAGAGUUUUAUUUAUACAGGACAUUUGUACCUCAUACAAGUAUGUUGAGAGAAGUUCAGAACAAGCUAUUAUGUUUGAAGAGGAGUUGUCAGCACGUCAUCAUUGAAUAAAGUCAGUUGUAUUAGAAGUGAAGCCUAAACAGAAAUGAGACAAUUAUCAAAUAAUUCAAAGACUACAUGGUUGUUAUCUGGACUAACAUUUGUAUGACCCAAAUGUGGUAUUUUUCAUAUGAAGACUUACAAGGCAGGCUGUGGCAACAUGUGUAUGCAUUUAACAUGUUUAAAGACUUGAAGAACUUGUACUGCCUUCUUAAGAUUUCAGUAGAAUUUGUUUAAGACAGUAAAUUCUGAGUAUGAAUUGAAGAAUUUUUGCUCAUUUAAAUGAAUUAUGAAAAUGUUUUGCAUCUUAAAUAUACAAAAACAACAUACCGGUAAA